GAUGAACGCUGGCGGCGUGCCUAAUACAUGCAAGUCGAGCGAACGGACGAGAAGCUUGCUUCUCUGAUGUUAGCGGCGGACGGGUGAGUAACACGUGGAUAACCUACCUAUAAGACUGGGAUAACUUCGGGAAACCGCAGCUAAUACCGGAUAAUAUUUUGAACCGCAUGGUUCAAAAGUGAAAGACGGUCUUGCUGUCACUUAUAGAUGGAUCCGCGCUGCAUUAGCUAGUUGGUAAGGUAACGGCUUACCAAGGCAACGAUGCAUAGCCGACCUGAGAGGGUGAUCGGCCACACUGGAACUGAGACACGGUCCAGACUCCUACGGGAGGCAGCAGUAGGGAAUCUUCCGCAAUGGGCGAAAGCCUGACGGAGCAACGCCGCGCGAGUGAUGAAGGUCUUCGGAUCGUAAAACUCUGUUAUUAGGGAAGAACAUAUGUGUAAGUAACUGUGCACAUCUUGACGGUACCUAAUCAGAAAGCCACGGCUAACUACGUG
This 497-nucleotide ribosomal RNA is filed under the name uncultured bacterium. Its description in RNAcentral is "partial 16S ribosomal RNA". It matches the Rfam family "Bacterial small subunit ribosomal RNA", at positions 28 to 507 of the family's 1533-position model. The record is from RNAcentral.